Non-coding RNA from Cutaneotrichosporon oleaginosum, 87 nucleotides. The record is from the annotation of a RefSeq genome assembly. NCBI's taxonomy places the organism in Eukaryota, Fungi, Basidiomycota, Tremellomycetes, Trichosporonales, Trichosporonaceae.
GACGCUUUAGCUCAGUGGGAGAGCGAGCGAGUGAAGCGCAGCAGCGCCCAGUUCGUUCGGUCGUGUGUUCAAUCCACACAAGCGUCA